GCCCAGACUCCUACGGGAGGCAGCAGUGAGGAAUAUUGGUCAAUGGGCGAGAGCCUGAACCAGCCAAGUCGCGUGAAGGAUGACGGCCCUACGGGUUGUAAACUUCUUUUGUCAGGGAGCAAUUGAGUCCACGUGUGGGCUUAGCGAGAGUACCUGAAGAAAAAGCAUCGGCUAACUCCGUGCCAGCAGCCGCGGUAAUACGGAGGAUGCGAGCGUUAUCCGGAUUUAUUGGGUUUAAAGGGUGCGCAGGCGGAGGUGCAAGUCAGCGGUCAAAUUGCGGGGCUCAACCCCGUACUGCCGUUGAAACUGGCGGCCUCGAGUGGGCGAGAAGUAUGCGGAAUGCGUGGUGUAGCGGUGAAAUGCACAGAUAUCACGCAGAACUCCGAUUGCGAAGGCAGCAUACCGGCGCCCGUCUGACGCUGAGGCACGAAAGCGUGGGUAUCGAACAGGAUUAGAUACCCGUGUAU
RNAcentral lists this ribosomal RNA (467 nucleotides) under uncultured bacterium. Its description in RNAcentral is "bacterial SSU rRNA". It matches the Rfam family "Bacterial small subunit ribosomal RNA", at positions 329 to 793 of the family's 1533-position model. The record is from RNAcentral.